This 18-nucleotide small nuclear RNA is filed under the name Arabidopsis thaliana (thale cress). Its description in RNAcentral is "snRNA_16686". Lineage: Eukaryota; Viridiplantae; Streptophyta; Magnoliopsida; Brassicales; Brassicaceae. The record is from RNAcentral.
UGACUCUAGUCCGACUUU